Molecule: ribosomal RNA, 432 nt
Filed under: Triticum aestivum (bread wheat)
Lineage: Eukaryota; Viridiplantae; Streptophyta; Magnoliopsida; Poales; Poaceae
Description: partial small subunit ribosomal RNA
Source: RNAcentral
AUGUAUGAGGAUGUUGUAAAGUGGCGAUUCACGGGCUUUUAUGGUCAUCCGAACUGGAACGAACGUCAUUUAUCUUGGGAUGAUAUUCGUAACUUACAUAGUAAGGGCGACCACCCUUGGGUGGUUUUGGGGGAUUUUAAUGAAAUUUUAUAUUCCUCGGAAAAGGAGGGCGGUAAUGCGAGACCAAAUGGAAUGAUGCGGGACUUCCGUGAAUGCCUUAUGGACUGUGGGCUGGAAGACUUAGGUUAUAUGGGCGAUCCUUUUACUUGGAGUAGAGGUGAAAUCCGAGAGCGUCUCGAUCAGGCAGUUUGCAAUGUAGGGUGGGCACAUAAAUUUCCUCGUGCAGCGGUGAUUAAUGAAGAACAUGUUGUUGGGGAUCGUAGCAGAAAUUUAAAAUUUUCUACGCAUCACCAAGAUCAAUCUAUGGAGUAA